Molecule: non-coding RNA, 149 nt
Filed under: uncultured Butyricicoccus sp.
Lineage: Bacteria; Bacillati; Bacillota; Clostridia; Eubacteriales; Butyricicoccaceae
Description: glmS glucosamine-6-phosphate activated ribozyme
Rfam family: glmS glucosamine-6-phosphate activated ribozyme aptamer
About the family: This entry contains a glucosamine-6-phosphate activated ribozyme that is found in the mRNA for GlmS.
Source: RNAcentral
AUAUGAAGCGCCAGGACUGCGUCACCGCCCGUGCCGCAGUUGACGAGGUAAGGAUUUAUCGAAAGAUUCGGCGGAUGAUCCUUCGGCCAAGAGUGGGUUGGUCGUCAGUGGCUUCUCAAAAAGCGGGAGCGAUCCCGUAACAAGGAAGU